GUUGGGUAGGGGAGCGUUCUGUAAGCCUGUGAAGGUGGCCUGUGAGGGUUGCUGGAGGUAUCAGAAGUGCGAAUGCUGACAUAAGUAACGAUAAAGCGGGUGAAAAGCCCGCUCGCCGGAAGACCAAGGGUUCCUGUCCAACGUUAAUCGGGGCAGGGUGAGUCGACCCCUAAGGCGAGGCCGAAAGGCGUAGUCGAUGGGAAACAGGUUAAUAUUCCCGUACUUGGUGUUACUGCGAAGGGGGGACGGAGAAGGCUAUGUUGGCCGGGCGACGGUUGUCCCGGUUUAAGCGUGUAGGUGUGUGUUCCAGGUAAAUCCGGUUCACUUUAACACUGAGGCGUGAUGACGAGGCACUACGGUGCUGAAGCAACAAAUGCCCUGCUUCCAGGAAAAGCCUCUAAGCAUCAGGUAACAUCAAAUCGUACCCCAAACCGACACAGGUGGUCAGGUAGAGAAUACCAAGGCGCUUGAGAGAACUCGGGUGAAGGAACUAGGCAAAAUGGUGCCGUAACUUCGGGAGAAGGCACGCUGACACGUAGGUGAAGUGAUUUACUCAUGGAGCUGAAGUCAGUCGAAGAUACCAGCUGGCUGCAACUGUUUAUUAAAAACACAGCACUGUGCAAACACGAAAGUGGACGUAUACGGUGUGACGCCUGCCCGGUGCCGGAAGGUUAAUUGAUGGGGUCAGCGCAAGCGAAGCUCCUGAUCGAAGCCCCGGUAAACGGCGGCCGUAACUAUAACGGUCCUAAGGUAGCGAAAUUCCUUGUCGGGUAAGUUCCGACCUGCACGAAUGGCGUAAUGAUGGCCAGGCUGUCUCCACCCGAGACUCAGUGAAAUUGAACUCGCUGUGAAGAUGCAGUGUACCCGCGGCAAGACGGAAAGACCCCGUGAACCUUUACUAUAGCUUGACACUGAACAUUGAGCCUUGAUGUGUAGGAUAGGUGGGAGGCUUUGAAGCGUGGACGCCAGUCUGCGUGGAGCCGACCUUGAAAUACCACCCUUUAAUGUUUGAUGUUCUAACGUGGACCCGUAAUCCGGGUUGCGGACAGUGUCUGGUGGGUAGUUUGACUGGGGCGGUCUCCUCCUAAAGAGUAACGGAGGAGCACGAAGGUUGGCUAAUCCUGGUCGGACAUCAGGAGGUUAGUGCAAUGGCAUAAGCCAGCUUGACUGCGAGCGUGACGGCGCGAGCAGGUGCGAAAGCAGGUCAUAGUGAUCCGGUGGUUCUGAAUGGAAGGGCCAUCGCUCAACGGAUAAAAGGUACUCCGGGGAUAACAGGCUGAUACCGCCCAAGAGUUCAUAUCGACGGCGGUGUUUGGCACCUCGAUGUCGGCUCAUCACAUCCUGGGGCUGAAGUAGGUCCCAAGGGUAUGGCUGUUCGCCAUUUAAAGUGGUACGCGAGCUGGGUUUAGAACGUCGUGAGACAGUUCGGUCCCUAUCUGCCGUGGGCGCUGGAGAACUGAGGGGGGCUGCUCCUAGUACGAGAGGACCGGAGUGGACGCAUCACUGGUGUUCGGGUUGUCAUGCCAAUGGCACUGCCCGGUAGCUAAAUGCGGAAGAGAUAAGUGCUGAAAGCAUCUAAGCACGAAACUUGCCCCGAGAUGAGUUCUCCCUGAGACUUAGAGUCUCCUGAAGGAACGUUGAAGACGACGACGUUGAUAGGCCGGGUGUGUAAGCGCAGCGAUGCGUUGAGCUAACCGGUACUAAUGAACCGUGAGGCUUAACCUUACAACGCCGAAG
RNAcentral lists this ribosomal RNA (1737 nucleotides) under Salmonella enterica subsp. enterica serovar Thompson. RNAcentral's name for it is "bacterial LSU rRNA". It matches the Rfam family "Bacterial large subunit ribosomal RNA", at positions 1223 to 2925 of the family's 2925-position model. The record is from RNAcentral. Lineage: Bacteria; Pseudomonadati; Pseudomonadota; Gammaproteobacteria; Enterobacterales; Enterobacteriaceae.